RNAcentral lists this transfer RNA (76 nucleotides) under Ktedonobacteraceae bacterium. RNAcentral describes it as "tRNA-Met". It matches the Rfam family "tRNA". Rfam says of the family: Transfer RNA (tRNA) molecules are approximately 80 nucleotides in length. Their secondary structure includes four short double-helical elements and three loops (D, anti-codon, and T loops). The record is from RNAcentral. Lineage: Bacteria; Bacillati; Chloroflexota; Ktedonobacteria; Ktedonobacterales; Ktedonobacteraceae. RNAcentral also lists the same sequence under 1 other name.
CGCGGGGUGGAGCAGUGGUUAGCUCGUUGGGCUCAUAACCCAAAGGUCGGAGGUUCAAAUCCUCCCCCCGCUACCA